CGUGGAGUGAUUUGUCUGGUUUAUUCCGAUAACGAGCGAGACUCUAACCUACUAAAUAGUUCGCCGAUUGGCUAAUCUGUCGGCGUUAACUUCUUAGAGGGACAAGUGGCGUUUAGUCACACGAGAUUGAGCAAUAACAGGUCUGUGAUGCCCUUAGAUGUCCGGGGCUGCACGCGCGCUACACUGGCAAAAUCAACGUGCUUGUCCUUCCCCGAGAGGGGCGGGUAAACCAUUGAAAAUUUGCCGUGAUUGGGAUCGGAAAUUGCAAUUAUUUUCCGUGAACGAGGAAUUCCAAGUAAGUGCGAGUCAUCAGCUCGCGUUGAUUACGUCCCUGCCCUUUGUAC
Molecule: ribosomal RNA, 344 nt
Filed under: Nematoda environmental sample
Lineage: Eukaryota; Metazoa; Nematoda
Description: bacterial SSU rRNA
Rfam family: Eukaryotic small subunit ribosomal RNA
Source: RNAcentral